UGGGGAAUUUUGGACAAUGGACGCAAGUCUGAUCCAGCCAUGCCGCGUGCGGGAAGAAGGCCUUCGGGUUGUAAACUGCUUUUGUACGGAGCGAAAAGGUCUGCCCUAAUACGGUGGGCUCAUGACGGUACCGUAAGAAUAAGCACCGGCUAACUGCGUGCCAGCAGCCGCGGUAAUACGUAGGGUGCGAGCGUUAAUCGGAAUUACUGGGCGUAAAGCGUGCGCAGGCGGUUAUGCAAGACAGAGGUGAAAUCCCCGGGCUCAACCUGGGAACUGCAUUUGUGACUGUAUAGCUAGAGUACGGUAGAGGGGGAUGGAAUUCCGCGUGUAGCAGUGAAAUGCGUAGAUAUGCGGAGGAACACCGAUGGCGAAGGCAAUCCCCUGGACCUGUACUGACGCUCAUGCACGAAAGCGUGGGGAGCAAACA
This 427-nucleotide ribosomal RNA is filed under the name uncultured bacterium. RNAcentral's name for it is "bacterial SSU rRNA". It matches the Rfam family "Bacterial small subunit ribosomal RNA", at positions 355 to 774 of the family's 1533-position model. The record is from RNAcentral.